RNAcentral lists this ribosomal RNA (914 nucleotides) under uncultured marine archaeon. RNAcentral describes it as "bacterial SSU rRNA". It matches the Rfam family "Archaeal small subunit ribosomal RNA", at positions 1 to 922 of the family's 1478-position model. The record is from RNAcentral.
UUCCGGUUGAUCCUGCCGGACCUGACUGCUAUCGGAUUGAUACUAAGCCAUGCGAGUCUUUGCAGUAAUGCAAGGCAUACGGCUCAGUAACACGUAGUCAACUUACCCUAUGGACGAGGAUAAUCUCGGGAAACUGAGCAUAAUACUCGAUAGAUCAUAAUGCCUGGAAUGGUUUAUGGUUGAAAUGAUUCGUCGCCAUAGGAUGGGACUGCGGCCUAUCAGCUUGUUGGUGAGGUAAAGGCCCACCAAGGCGAUUACAGGUACGGGCUCUGAGAGGAGAAGCCCGGAGAUGGGUACUGAGACACGGACCCAGGCCCUAUGGGGCGCAGCAGGCGAGAAAACUUUGCAAUGUGCGAAAGCACGACAAGGUUAAUCCGAGUGAUUUCUGCUAAAGGAAUCUUUUGCCAGUUCUAAAAAUACUAGUGAAUAAGGGGUGGGCAAGUUCUGGUGUCAGCCGCCGCGGUAAAACCAGCACCUCAAGUGGUCAGGAGGAUUAUUGGGCCUAAAGCAUCCGUAGCCUGCUCUGUAAGUUUUCGGUUAAAUCUAUAUGCUCAACAUAUAGGCUGCCGAAAAUACUGCAGUGCUAGGAAGUGGGAGAGGUAGACGGUACUCGAUAGGAAGGGGUAAAAUCCUUUGAUCUAUCGAUGACCACCUGUGGCGAAGGCGGUCUACCAGAACACGUUCGACGGUGAGGGAUGAAAGCUGGGGGAGCAAACCGGAUUAGAUACCCGGGUAGUCCCAGCUGUAAACGAUGCAGACUCGAUGAUGCAUUGGCAUAUAGCCAGUGCAGUAUCGCAGGGAAGCCGUUAAGUCUGCCGCCUGGGAAGUACGUACGCAAGUAUGAAACUUAAAGGAAUUGGCGGGGGAGCACCACAAGGGGUGAAGCCUGCGGUUCAAUUGGAGUCAACGCCGGG